Molecule: ribosomal RNA, 397 nt
Filed under: uncultured bacterium
Lineage: Bacteria
Description: partial 16S ribosomal RNA
Rfam family: Bacterial small subunit ribosomal RNA
Source: RNAcentral
AUACGUAGGGGGCGAGCGUUGUCCGGAAUGAUUGGGCGUAAAGGGCGCGUAGGCGGCGCGGUAAGUCUGGAGUGAAAGUCCUGCUUUCAAGGUGGGAAUUGCUUUGGAUACUGCCGCGCUUGAGUGCAGGAGAGGUUAUCGGAAUUCCCGGUGUAGCGGUGAAAUGCGUAGAGAUCGGGAGGAACACCAGUGGCGAAGGCGGGUAACUGGACUGCAACUGACGCUGAGGCGCGAAAGUGUGGGGAGCAAACAGGAUUAGAUACCCUGGUAGUCCUCACUGUAAACGAUGAAUGCUAGGUGUAGGGGGUAUCGACCCCUUCUGUGCCGCAGUCAACACAAUAAGCAUUCCGCCUGGGGAGUACGGCCGCAAGGUUGAAACUCAAAUGAAUUGACGGGG